Non-coding RNA from Dryococelus australis, 86 nucleotides. The record is from the annotation of a GenBank genome assembly. Lineage: Eukaryota; Metazoa; Arthropoda; Insecta; Phasmatodea; Phasmatidae.
GUCAGGAUGGCCGAGAGGUCUAAGGUGCUUCGUUCAGUUCGCAGUCCGUAUCUGUCUCGGCGUGGGUCCGAAUCCCAUAUCUGUCU